Molecule: long non-coding RNA, 819 nt
Filed under: Helianthus annuus (common sunflower)
Lineage: Eukaryota; Viridiplantae; Streptophyta; Magnoliopsida; Asterales; Asteraceae
Description: sRNA HanXRQr2_Chr07g0289001
Source: RNAcentral
ACACCCUCACACACAACCGAACUCUCUCUCCCUCUGUUAAUCUUCCCGGCGACUCAACCGGCGGAGCCGGCCGGUGCGCGGCGGCGCCGCCGCCGGUGGCGGAGCUCCGGCAGUCCCUUCUCCGGUCACACACCUCCCCUUCGCCCUUUGUCCUCCUCCGAUCUACACCCCCUCCCCCCUUUUUGCGAUCCAGAAACGGACCACCACCACCACAAACCGGUGGUGGUACGACGGCGCUACAGAGAAACACGAGAGAGAGAGAGACCGAGAGAGAUAGAGAACCGGCGGUCGGAGUCUCGGACCGCCGGUCGGUUCUGUUAUCCGGUGGCGAUUCGCUUAUCCGGUGGUCAAUGUUUUUAUCCGACAAGCUCCUGUUCAGAUUCGCGUUCAGGUUUAAAGUUCAUCUCAGAUUUCAAGUCUCAGGUCCGGGUCAGAUUCAACGGGUUCGGGUUCGGGUUCGGGUCAAACCCGGUUGACCCGGUCAACACCCGAGUCAACUCGGGUCAAAAGUAGGUCAAGCACGGUCAACAUGGGUCAGACGGUUCGUGUAGGUCGGUUCGGGUCAGCCGGUUCGAGUCGGAUCAUGAAGUAGUUCGGUUGACUCGGUCAAACCGAGUCAACUCGGUCAAACCGAGUCAACUCGGUCAAACCGAGUCAACUCGGUCAACUCAGUCAACAGAUCGACGUGAAGAGUGGAAUAUUGUAGAAUGCACGCUAGCGAGUCUCAUCUUGGAAACGACAUCACGAAGUCGUUGCAUUUCAAAGUUAAGGCACGGUUGGAAUAGGAGGACCAUGAAGAGUCGAGUACUUAGUGGGCGU